Long non-coding RNA from Populus euphratica (Euphrates poplar), 446 nucleotides. RefSeq lists it as uncharacterized. The transcript is spliced from 3 exons. NCBI's taxonomy places the organism in Eukaryota, Viridiplantae, Streptophyta, Magnoliopsida, Malpighiales, Salicaceae. The record is from RefSeq and is a predicted model, not a curated record.
CCCUUCAAUAAAAUCCCAUAACCAGCCUCCAUUUCUCCCAGGGUUCUCUUGCCCCUCGCUCGAAACCCCGAAACUGUAGUCAAAGCAGCUUUCCCUCCUGCCUUUUCCCCACGAUUUCCUCGCCGCAAGAAACACUCCAUUCAACAAUUUUUACUAAUAAUGCACGUAGUGAAAUAAUGGGAAGUGGGAGUUUAUUGUGGAAUUUGACAAAGAAAUAUUUAACAGUCGGGGUCAUAGGGCUAACCAUUACAGACCGAUAUGCUAGUAUUGUUCCGGUACGAGGUGGCUCUAUGUCUCCUACGUUUAAUCCUAGGACCAAUACAGUUUUGGGGUCAUUAGAUGACCGUGUUUUGAUCGAGAAGUUUUGCCUUGCAAAGUACAAAUUUUCCCAUGGCGAUGUGGUAGUUUUUCGGUAGGUGUUUUCGUGGAUUUUGAUUGGAUUGUGU